This 71-nucleotide transfer RNA is filed under the name archaeon. RNAcentral's name for it is "tRNA-His". It matches the Rfam family "tRNA". Rfam says of the family: Transfer RNA (tRNA) molecules are approximately 80 nucleotides in length. Their secondary structure includes four short double-helical elements and three loops (D, anti-codon, and T loops). The record is from RNAcentral.
ACGAUAGUAGUUUAAUGGUAGAAUUCAGGCCUGUGGCGCUUGAGGCGCGGGUUCGAUUCCCGCCUAUCGUC